This 551-nucleotide ribosomal RNA is filed under the name uncultured bacterium. RNAcentral describes it as "partial 16S ribosomal RNA". It matches the Rfam family "Bacterial small subunit ribosomal RNA", at positions 355 to 898 of the family's 1533-position model. The record is from RNAcentral.
UAGGGAAUCUUCCACAAUGGACGCAAGUCUGAUGGAGCAACGCCGCGUGAGUGAAGAAGGCUUUCGGGUCGUAAAACUCUGUUGUUGGAGAAGAAUGGUCGGCAGAGUAACUGUUGUCGGCGUGACGGUAUCCAACCAGAAAGCCACGGCUAACUACGUGCCAGCAGCCGCGGUAAUACGUAGGUGGCAAGCGUUAUCCGGAUUUAUUGGGCGUAAAGCGAGCGCAGGCGGUUUUUAAGUCUGAUGUGAAAGCCCUCGGCUUAACCGAGGAAGCGCAUCGGAAACUGGGAAACUUGAGUGCAGAAGAGGACAGUGGAACUCCAUGUGUAGCGGUGAAAUGCGUAGAUAUAUGGAAGAACACCAGUGGCGAAGGCGGCUGUCUGGUCUGUAACUGACGCUGAGGCUCGAAAGCAUGGGUAGCGAACAGGAUUAGAUACCCUGGUAGUCCAUGCCGUAAACGAUGAAUGCUAGGUGUUGGAGGGUUUCCGCCCUUCAGUGCCGCAGCUAACGCAUUAAGCAUUCCGCCUGGGGAGUACGACCGCAAGGUUGAA